GACGAACGCUGGCGGCGUGCCUAAUACAUGCAAGUCGAACGCAGUGGGGACGGGUGAGUCACACGUGGGUACUCUCCCAUCAGAGGGGAUAACACUUGGAAACAGGUGCUAAACCGAUCCUGAUGGAUGGACGCGGGGUGCAUUAGCUGGUUGGUGAGGUAACGGCUCACCAAGGCGACGAUGCAUAGCCGACCGGUGAGGGGGACCGGCCAAAUGGGGACUGAAACACGGCCCAGACUCCUAGGGAAGGCGGCAGUAGGGAAUCUGCGGCAAUGGACGAAAGUCUGACCGAGCAAGGCCGCGGGGGUAAAGAAGUUUUUCGGAUCGUAAAACUCGUUUGUUAGAGAAGCGGUAUCUAACCAGAAAGCCACGGCUAACUACGUGCCAGCAGCCGCGGUAAUUC
RNAcentral lists this ribosomal RNA (403 nucleotides) under uncultured bacterium. Its description in RNAcentral is "partial 16S ribosomal RNA". It matches the Rfam family "Bacterial small subunit ribosomal RNA", at positions 28 to 526 of the family's 1533-position model. The record is from RNAcentral.